GGGGAUUUAGCUCAGUGGUAUAAGCGCCUGCUUUGCAAGCAGGUGAUUGUGUGUUUGAUCCCCG
This 64-nucleotide transfer RNA is filed under the name Cavia porcellus (domestic guinea pig). It matches the Rfam family "tRNA". From Rfam's summary of the family: Transfer RNA (tRNA) molecules are approximately 80 nucleotides in length. Their secondary structure includes four short double-helical elements and three loops (D, anti-codon, and T loops). Lineage: Eukaryota; Metazoa; Chordata; Mammalia; Rodentia; Caviidae. The record is from Rfam by way of RNAcentral.